Long non-coding RNA from Limulus polyphemus (Atlantic horseshoe crab), 468 nucleotides. RefSeq lists it as uncharacterized. The transcript is spliced from 3 exons. NCBI's taxonomy places the organism in Eukaryota, Metazoa, Arthropoda, Merostomata, Xiphosura, Limulidae. The record is from RefSeq and is a predicted model, not a curated record.
CAUAAGUGGGCCGAGCGAGUCAUACCGUACUUCUAUUUUAUAGUGUGUUGAACCAUCUUGUUCGAACGCAUUCUUUAAUCCUAUCUAUCAUCUCCCGAGACAAAUAGUAAGACCCAUUACAGGAGAUUUCUUUACGAACGUACUUUGGUGACAGAUGAUAAACGUCUUGAAUGAGUAUCGGUAGCAGAGAAGUCUAGAUAGAAGAUGGCUGGAGUGGGAAGUGCGACACCUAAGCUGACACCAUGUUGAACGGGUGGUUUGAUGCCUUCAGAGACAAAGGAGGACCAACUUUCUACAGUGUCUCCAACAGAACUCCCGUUAUUCAAGAUAUUCACAGCAUCAUUAUUUAUAUCAGUUUUAUAACUCUUUUUGUCGCCUUUCUUAUUGUGUUCCCGGGAAUCAGAAAAGAGAAAUUUACCACAUUCAUCAGUGUUACAAUUAGUCUUUUUGUUGGAGCUGUUGUUCUUA